CGACGAUGACCUUCAACUGCCCUUGCCAUGUUACCAGAGUAGGUUGGGAGGAAGACAGCACUUUCCACAGACACAAUAUAGUCAAGAGCAGCCAUUUGAGAAGCAUGAUUGCGAAAUGGUUCAAGCUCUUCAACUGAAGCCAAUUUUUCCUGUAACAUUAUCAUGAUAUGAAAUAUCAACAAGUCGGCCGUAGGAUAGCCAAAAAAAUUUAAACCAACGUAGCGCCUAACAAAGAGAGACCCCAUAAAAGGGAAGCACAUUCAUGAUAAAAUCUGACAGUAAACAUUGUUACACACAAUUAUAACUUGGCCAACAAGCUUAUCAUCCUAUUUCUAAGCCUCUCCCCCCCAAAACACAUUUCUCUCUCUCUAUGUCAGCAUCAUCAUCGUCAUCGACUCCAUCCCAUAGAAACCUAAACAUCAAACUCACAAUAUAAUAUGUACAUUCCCCUUCCCCCCAGCCGAACCCAGAACCAGAAUCUUGCGCACCCCGCCUACUGCUCGAGUCCUGGCUGUACAGGGAUAUCUGUCUUCGGAAUGAAAAAUUUGAGUCCUUAAAAGUCAAUCUAUCUCAUUGCAGAAGAGGUGCUGCCUGUGUUUGAUGAUGAUUGUCUCUGACAUAAACAAUCUGGUAAAGGAUUCACAUAGAAGGAUUCCUCGGAACGAAACCUAUCCAUGCCUUUUGUUCCUGAGAUGGGACCUUUCCUCUUCCUUGGAGAUCCUUGUCUGUCCAACAAUCACAGCCAACCAAUAUCGAACACAAAUAAUGUUUCUCAGUGGUAUAACCAGUGAAAACAAGUUAGAAAGAUGAAGUUCUACAAAAAAAAUUAAAAGAGCAAUCUCAAUUUUAAAGGAAUGAGUGAACAGGCAUUCUGCCAUACCGUUUCUUGUGAAGUUCAACAACACGGCUUGAAAGAUUUCUGCCUUCUUUCAGUUUCCGUCUUUCAACUUUAUCGAAAAGACGAACAAGUGAUUUCCUGUUGCAGAAAAUCAAAUCAUUAAGGAACGACUUCAAUUCCAACAAAUUACCCAAAAAGAAAGUAAGCAAAAGCACAAGUACCUGUCAGGAGAAAUUGUUUUUCUAUGUCCCAAAUAACGACGAUGACCUUCAACUGCCCUUGCCAUGUUACCAGAGUAGGUUGGGAGGAAGACAGCACUUUCCACAGACACAAUAUAGUCAAGAGCAGCCAUUUGAGAAGCAUGAUUGCGAAAUGGUUCAAGCUCUUCAACUGAAGCCAAUUUUUCCUGUAACAUUAUCAUGAUAUGAAAUAUCAACAAGUCGGCCGUAGGAUAGCCAAAAAAAUUUAAACCAACGUAGCGCCUAACAAAGAGAGACCCCAUA
RNAcentral lists this long non-coding RNA (1341 nucleotides) under Linum usitatissimum (flax). Its description in RNAcentral is "long non-coding RNA (LUSI_LNC007556)". Lineage: Eukaryota; Viridiplantae; Streptophyta; Magnoliopsida; Malpighiales; Linaceae. The record is from RNAcentral.